CCUACGGGCGGCUGCAGUGAGGAAUCUUGCGCAAUGGGGGAAACCCUGACGCAGCAACGCCGCGUGAGUGAGGAAGGUCUUCGGGUCGUAAAGCUCUGUCAGGCGGGAAGAAAUGCAUGGAGGUGAACAGCCGCCAUGCUUGACGGUACCGCCAGAGGAAGCACCGGCUAACUCCGUGCCAGCAGCCGCGGUAAUACGGGGGGUGCAAGCGUUGUUCGGAAUCAUUGGGCGUAAAGAGCGUGUAGGCGGCUUGGUAAGUCAGAUGUGAAAGCCCUGGGCUCAACCCGGGAAGUGCAUUUGAAACUGUCAGGCUCGAGUAGGGGAGAGGGAAGUGGAAUUCCUGGUGUAGAGGUGAAAUUCGUAGAUAUCAGGAGGAACACCGGUGGCGAAGGCGACUUCCUGGCCCUAUACUGACGCUGAGACGCGAGAGCGUGGGUAGCAAACAGGAUUAGAUACCCGAGUAGUC
RNAcentral lists this ribosomal RNA (466 nucleotides) under uncultured Syntrophus sp. RNAcentral describes it as "bacterial SSU rRNA". It matches the Rfam family "Bacterial small subunit ribosomal RNA", at positions 338 to 795 of the family's 1533-position model. Lineage: Bacteria; Pseudomonadati; Thermodesulfobacteriota; Syntrophia; Syntrophales; Syntrophaceae. The record is from RNAcentral.